RNAcentral lists this unclassified non-coding RNA (30 nucleotides) under Dictyostelium discoideum. The record is from RNAcentral. Lineage: Eukaryota; Evosea; Eumycetozoa; Dictyosteliales; Dictyosteliaceae.
GGGCGGGAGUAACUAUGACUCUCUUAAGGU